UCCCUGGUGGCUCAGAGGUUAAAGCGUCUGCCUGCAUUGCAGGAGACUUGGGUUCGAUCCCUGGGUUGGGAA
RNAcentral lists this transfer RNA (72 nucleotides) under Ovis aries (sheep). It matches the Rfam family "tRNA". Rfam says of the family: Transfer RNA (tRNA) molecules are approximately 80 nucleotides in length. Their secondary structure includes four short double-helical elements and three loops (D, anti-codon, and T loops). Lineage: Eukaryota; Metazoa; Chordata; Mammalia; Artiodactyla; Bovidae. The record is from Rfam by way of RNAcentral.